RNAcentral lists this long non-coding RNA (395 nucleotides) under Brachypodium distachyon (stiff brome). RNAcentral's name for it is "long non-coding RNA (BDIS_LNC005142)". The record is from RNAcentral. Lineage: Eukaryota; Viridiplantae; Streptophyta; Magnoliopsida; Poales; Poaceae.
UUCUUGAGUAUACAUUUUUGAUUUUUAUUAUCUUCUCUUUCUUGAUGGACCCACAUGUCAUCUUCUUUUUCUUGAUAUCCACGUAGAGCCUGUUACUUCUUCAAGUAACCACUACCUAUUUAUUUUAUUCAAUUUUUUAUCUUAUUGGUCUACUAUUUUUUGGUAUCGGCAUUCGCUCCAACGACCGCCGCUACUUUCGGCGGCCCGCACAAAUUGACAGACAUCGUUUUGACCUAUUCUCCUGCCAAUAUAUUUUCCUACUUUUCGCUUGCAGCUAGCCCAGACAGACAGCGGCGUUAUAUUCCGACCUACGUACGUACAUACAUACGUCCUUGUCCACAGCUGGGUUGACGGCAUCUACUUGCUAGCUUAUUACUACUAUCGUCGUCCCCGUC